This 870-nucleotide ribosomal RNA is filed under the name Verrucocladosporium visseri. Its description in RNAcentral is "partial large subunit ribosomal RNA". It matches the Rfam family "Eukaryotic large subunit ribosomal RNA", at positions 57 to 954 of the family's 3401-position model. Lineage: Eukaryota; Fungi; Ascomycota; Dothideomycetes; Cladosporiales; Cladosporiaceae. The record is from RNAcentral.
AAAAGAAACCAACAGGGAUUGCCCUAGUAACGGCGAGUGAAGCGGCAACAGCUCAAAUUUGAAAUCUGGCGUCUACGGCGUCCGAGUUGUAAUUUGUAGAGGAUGCUUCUGGGCAGCCACCGGUCUAAGUUCCUUGGAACAGGACGUCAUAGAGGGUGAGAAUCCCGUAUGCGACCGGACAGGCACCCUCCACGAAGCUCCUUCGACGAGUCGAGUUGUUUGGGAAUGCAGCUCUAAAUGGGAGGUAAAUUUCUUCUAAAGCUAAAUACCGGCCAGAGACCGAUAGCGCACAAGUAGAGUGAUCGAAAGAUGAAAAGUACUUUGGAAAGAGAGUUAAAAAGCACGUGAAAUUGUUGAAAGGGAAGCGAUUGCAACCAGACUUGCUCGCGGUGUUCCGCCGGUCUUCUGACCGGUCUACUCGCCGCGUUGCAGGCCAGCAUCGUCUGGGGCCGCCGGAUAAGACUUUGGGAAUGUAGCUCCUUCGGGAGUGUUAUAGCCCAUCGUGAUGCGGCGCGCCCCGGGCGAGGUCCGCGCUUCGGCUAGGAUGCUGGCGUAAUGGUUGUAAUCGGCCCGUCUUGAAACACGGACCAAGGAGUCUAGCAUCUAUGCGAGUGUUCGGGUGUAAAACCCCUACGCGUAAUGAAAGUGAACGGAGGUGGGAACUUUUUGUGCACCAUCGACCGAUCCUGAUGUCUUCGGAUGGAUUUGAGUAAGAGCAUAGCUGUUGGGACCCGAAAGAUGGUGAACUAUGCCUGAAUAGGGUGAAGCCAGAGGAAACUCUGGUGGAGGCUCGCAGCGGUUCUGACGUGCAAAUCGAUCGUCAAAUUUGGGUAUAGGGGCGAAAGACUAAUCGAACCAUCUAGUAGCUGG